This 253-nucleotide ribosomal RNA is filed under the name uncultured bacterium. Its description in RNAcentral is "partial 16S ribosomal RNA". It matches the Rfam family "Bacterial small subunit ribosomal RNA", at positions 524 to 776 of the family's 1533-position model. The record is from RNAcentral.
GACGAAGGGGGCUAGCGUUGUUCGGAAUUACUGGGCGUAAAGCGCGUGUAGGCGGUUGUUCAAGUCAGGUGUGAAAGCCUUGAGCUCAACUCAAGAAAUGCACUUGAUACUGGAUGACUAGAGGACCGGAGAGGAUAGUGGAAUUCCCAGUGUAGUGGUGAAAUACGUAGAUAUUCGGAAGAACACCAGUGGCGAAGGCGGCUUACUGGACGACUGUUGACGCUGAGGUGCGAAAGCGUGGGGAGCAAACAGG